UACGUAGGGGGCGAGCGUUGUCCGGAAUGAUUGGGGCGUAAAGGGCGCGUAGGCGGCCCGGUAAGCCUGAAGUGAAAGUCCUGUUUUCAAGAUGGGAAUUGUUUUGGAUACUGUCGGGCUGAGUGCAGGAGAGGUAAGUGGAAUUCCCAGUGUAGCGGUGAAAUGCGUAGAGAUUGGGAGGAACACCAGUGGCGACGGCGACUUACUGGACUGUAACUGACGCUGAGGCGCGAAAGUGUGGGGAGCAAAC
This 250-nucleotide ribosomal RNA is filed under the name uncultured prokaryote. RNAcentral describes it as "partial 16S ribosomal RNA". It matches the Rfam family "Bacterial small subunit ribosomal RNA", at positions 524 to 773 of the family's 1533-position model. The record is from RNAcentral.